GACCGCAGAUGGUAUCUCUCCGGACUUCUCCAACAGUCGGAUUCCCACAGUGCUGACUGAAUUCCCCCGACGGACGAACUCCCACUACACCACCCGAGCUCCUUCAACAUGAGUUUCCCCAGUUAUCUAUUAAGCCGCCCUAAGCGCUCACUAAGCUCCGCCGCCAGCCGACUUUCUACGAAUAUCAGCUGUUCCCCGAAUCCCUUCCAGACUUCUUUCAGCCAGGUUCAACUCCAAUCUGAACUACCCC
This 250-nucleotide long non-coding RNA is filed under the name Elaeis guineensis (African oil palm). RNAcentral describes it as "long non-coding RNA (EGUI_LNC071735)". Lineage: Eukaryota; Viridiplantae; Streptophyta; Magnoliopsida; Arecales; Arecaceae. The record is from RNAcentral.